UGAGGAAUAUUGGUCAAUGGGCGAGAGCCUGAACCAGCCAAGUAGCGUGCAGGAUGACGGCCCUAUGGGUUGUAAACUGCUUUUAUAUGGGAAUAAAGUGAGGGACGUGUCCCUUAUUGCAUGUACCAUACGAAUAAGGACCGGCUAAUUCCGUUCCAGCAGCCGCGGUAAUACGGAAGGUCCAGGCGUUAUCCGGAUUUAUUGGGUUUAAAGGGAGCGUAGGCUGUUUGUUAAGCGUGUUGUGAAAUGUAGGAGCUCAACUUUUAGAUUGCAGCGCGAACUGGCAGACUUGAGUGCGCACAACGUAGGCGGAAUUCAUGGUGUAGCGGUGAAAUGCUUAGAUAUCAUGAAGAACUCCGAUUGCGAAGGCAGCUUACGGGGGCGCAACUGACGCUGAAGCUCGAAGGUGCGGGUAUCGAACAGG
Molecule: ribosomal RNA, 424 nt
Filed under: Verrucomicrobiota bacterium
Lineage: Bacteria; Pseudomonadati; Verrucomicrobiota
Description: Verrucomicrobia bacterium partial 16S ribosomal RNA
Rfam family: Bacterial small subunit ribosomal RNA
Source: RNAcentral